Non-coding RNA from Ictidomys tridecemlineatus (thirteen-lined ground squirrel), 770 nucleotides. The record is from RefSeq and is a predicted model, not a curated record. Lineage: Eukaryota; Metazoa; Chordata; Mammalia; Rodentia; Sciuridae.
UGUUCUACGUUCCCACCAAUUUCUCAUGAAUAGAGUUCUGUCCUGACUUUCUGGACCCAUGGAAAGGAAGAUGUUUGAGGUGAUUGGUAAUUUUGCCAAGUUGCCUUCCAGAAGAGUCCAGCACAGCACGCUGCCAGUCACAGGCAUUUCCUGGUUCCAGCAGUUAUACAUGAUCACGUCAUGCUUCAUAACGAAGUGUGUUUCUUCUUUUUGUGUCUUUUGAUAACCUUUUCCCAUUGACUUGUUGACAUCUUCGUGGUUUUUGACCAAUCACAAGAUAAAAUUGGAGUUUUCCAAAGACAUGCGAACAGGAGACAAUCAAAGACCCAUGUAUGUGCCUGAGAAUUUUCUGGAAAGACUGACCCUCUGAGUAAAUGGAGCCUUAGGACAGACCUCACAGCUGCGCGACUCACCUGCUUCUCCGCAUCUGUGCUGACUCUGUUAAAAACCAGCAUCUCUGCUUGUGCCUGCCUUGAGGAUCCUCUCCCGGUGUCUUGAAAUCGCCUCCCACCUGCGCUGUCCUGAAGGUGCCCAAGGGUAACUUGAUGUCCAUCUGUGUAAGGCAGAGAUGGAUGAAAGUCCUGCUGCUCCACCCUUCCUUCUGGAUUAGAAGGGCGUUUCACUGGUACUUAUCACCAAGAGAAGACACCACACUUCCAAGGCAGGGCCGGGAAGACAGAAGGCCAGGGGUGCUCUGGAGCCUUCUCCCUGCCCUGUGGUGGUGUUGUGUAACUAUCACCAUAAUAUAAAUAGAGGACAUUUCCACGGGC